RNAcentral lists this ribosomal RNA (298 nucleotides) under uncultured eukaryote. Its description in RNAcentral is "partial 18S ribosomal RNA". It matches the Rfam family "Eukaryotic small subunit ribosomal RNA", at positions 1470 to 1796 of the family's 1831-position model. The record is from RNAcentral.
CCCUUAGACACUCUAGGCGGCACGCGCGCUACAAUGGGUGGAAGAACGUGUUACUGCCUCCGAAAGGAGGGGUGAAUCACGAAUUCUUGCCCGUGAAUGGGAUAGUUUGUUGCAAUUUUCGGACUUGAACUAGGGAUCCCUUGUAAACAUGCUCAAGAAUAGCGUGUUGAAUACGUCCCUGCCGUUUGUACACACCGCCCGUCGUUUCUUCCGACUGAUACUCAUUGUGAGUUGCAAGGACCCUUUAUUGGGAAAUUGCUGCAAAUGCUUUGUAUUGGAGGAAGAAAAAGUCGUAACA